RNAcentral lists this ribosomal RNA (915 nucleotides) under uncultured bacterium. RNAcentral describes it as "bacterial SSU rRNA". It matches the Rfam family "Bacterial small subunit ribosomal RNA", at positions 8 to 882 of the family's 1533-position model. The record is from RNAcentral.
AGAGUUUGAUCAUGGCUCAGGACGAACGCUGGCGGCGUGCCUAAUACAUGCAAGUCGAGCGAGCUUGCCUAGAUGAUUUUAGUGCUUGCACUAAAUGAAACUAGAUACAAGCGAGCGGCGGACGGGUGAGUAACACGUGGGUAACCUGCCCAAGAGACUGGGAUAGCACCUGGAAACAGAUGCUAAUACCGGAUAACAACACUAGACGCAUGUCUAGAGUUUGAAAGAUGGUUCUGCUAUCACUCUUGGAUGGACCUGCGGUGCAUUAGCUAGUUGGUAAGGUAAUGGCUUACCAAGGCAAUGAUGCAUAGCCGAGUUGAGAGACUGAUCGGCCACAUUGGGACUGAGACACGGCCCAAACUCCUACGGGAGGCAGCAGUAGGGAAUCUUCCACAAUGGACGAAAGUCUGAUGGAGCAACGCCGCGUGAGUGAAGAAGGGUUUCGGCUCGUAAAGCUCUGUUGGUAGUGAAGAAAGAUAGAGGUAGUAACUGGCCUUUAUUUGACGGUAAUUACUUAGAAAGUCACGGCUAACUACGUGCCAGCAGCCGCGGUAAUACGUAGGUGGCAAGCGUUGUCCGGAUUUAUUGGGCGUAAAGCGAGUGCAGGCGGUUCAAUAAGUCUGAUGUGAAAGCCUUCGGCUCAACCGGAGAAUUGCAUCAGAAACUGUUGAACUUGAGUGCAGAAGAGGAGAGUGGAACUCCAUGUGUAGCGGUGGAAUGCGUAGAUAUAUGGAAGAACACCAGUGGCGAAGGCGGCUCUCCGGUCUGCAACUGACGCUGAGGCUCGAAAGCAUGGGUAGCGAACAGGAUUAGAUACCCUGGUAGUCCAUGCCGUAAACGAUGAGUGCUAAGUGUUGGGAGGUUUCCGCCUCUCAGUGCUGCAGCUCACGCAUUAAGCACUCCGCCUGGGGAGUA